CCAGAGGGGUUUUAGGGGGGUUUGGGAGUCCCUGAAGGGGUUUUAGGUGGUCUCAGAGGGAUUUGGGAGGUCCUUGGGGGUAUCUGGGGCUUCCAACACGGUCAGUUGGAGUGGGGAGUCCCUCAUUUUGGGCUGCCCCAACCUAACAUUGGGCUCCCAGCACCCCACUUGGGGGGUUCACCCUCACUCGGGGCUCCCUCCCCCCGUUGCCGGGGUGGUUGUUGGGUCGCACCUCCCCCCCACCCGUGCUCCACCUGUUGUCCUCCCCCAGGACUGGUGUCUUCGGAGCGCUCCAGCCUCGAAUUCCUGCUGAGCCGCACGGGGCGGGGCACGUGGCCAUGCUCCUGGGGGGGGGGCCGAGGCGCUGGAUGUGCAUCCCGGGGGUGCUGCGCCUGUGCCUGCAGCACCGCACCGGCUACAUGCGCAGCGCCCUACGCCACAGAUGGCUGGAACCACAGGAGGUGUAGCAUGGAGACAAGAAGGAUGAGGAGGGUAGAUGCCCCCUGCAUGAAGGCGAAGCUUGGAUUUCUUGAGGUCCCCUAUGUGACAGGUAACAGGUUGGGCUCACUUUUGUGACUGUUUCCUUCCGGAGGGGGCCUGCAUUUUCCCACAUCUUCCUUUUAUCCCCAGUGUACUAUACAAGCUUUUUUUGUUGGCGUUAAUGUCCUUGGCCAAAUUGAGUUCUGACACAACUUUAUCUUUCCUAACCUGAUCUCUGGCUGCUCUAUUUCUCUCCAUUCC
This 741-nucleotide long non-coding RNA is filed under the name Strigops habroptila (Kakapo). Its description in RNAcentral is "lncRNA (ENSSHBG00005015228.1)". Lineage: Eukaryota; Metazoa; Chordata; Aves; Psittaciformes; Psittacidae. The record is from RNAcentral.